RNAcentral lists this ribosomal RNA (429 nucleotides) under Pseudomonadota bacterium. RNAcentral's name for it is "Proteobacteria bacterium partial 16S ribosomal RNA". It matches the Rfam family "Bacterial small subunit ribosomal RNA", at positions 355 to 776 of the family's 1533-position model. The record is from RNAcentral. Lineage: Bacteria; Pseudomonadati; Pseudomonadota.
UGGGGAAUAUUGGACAAUGGGCGAAAGCCUGAUCCAGCCAUGCCGCGUGUGUGAAGAAGGUCUUCGGAUUGUAAAGCACUUUAAGUUGGGAGGAAGGGCUGUAAGCGAAUACCUUGCUGUUUUGACGUUACCGACAGAAUAAGCACCGGCUAACUCUGUGCCAGCAGCCGCGGUAAUACAGAGGGUGCAAGCGUUAAUCGGAAUUACUGGGCGUAAAGCGCGCGUAGGUGGUUCGUUAAGUUGAAUGUGAAAGCCCCGGGCUCAACCUGGGAACUGCAUCCAAAACUGGCGAGCUAGAGUAGGGCAGAGGGUGGUGGAAUUUCCUGUGUAGCGGUGAAAUGCGUAGAUAUUGGAAGGAACACCAGUGGCGAAGGCGACCACCUGGGCUCAUACUGACACUGAGGUGCGAAAGCGUGGGGAGCAAACAGG